CGACCCCAGGUCAGGCGAGGUUACCCGCUGAAUUUAAGCA
This 40-nucleotide ribosomal RNA is filed under the name Crataegus pentagyna. RNAcentral's name for it is "partial 26S ribosomal RNA". Lineage: Eukaryota; Viridiplantae; Streptophyta; Magnoliopsida; Rosales; Rosaceae. The record is from RNAcentral. RNAcentral also lists the same sequence under 1 other name.